CCGUGCCUUAUAGUGGGGGAGUAGCCUUUCGUAAAGGAAGAUUAAUACCGCAUAAGAUUGUAGUAUCGCAUGAUAUAGCAAUUAAAGGAGCAAUCCGCUAUAAGAUGGACCCGCGUCGCAUUAGCUAGUUGGUGAGGUAAUGGCUCACCAAGGCGACGAUGCGUAGCCGACCUGAGAGGGUGAUCGGCCACAUUGGGACUGAGACACGGCCCAGACUCCUACGGGAGGCAGCAUG
Molecule: ribosomal RNA, 235 nt
Filed under: uncultured bacterium
Lineage: Bacteria
Description: partial 16S ribosomal RNA
Rfam family: Bacterial small subunit ribosomal RNA
Source: RNAcentral